RNAcentral lists this ribosomal RNA (468 nucleotides) under uncultured bacterium. RNAcentral's name for it is "partial 16S ribosomal RNA". It matches the Rfam family "Bacterial small subunit ribosomal RNA", at positions 28 to 507 of the family's 1533-position model. The record is from RNAcentral.
GACGAACGCUGGCGGCGUGCUUAACACAUGCAAGUCGAACGGAAAGGCCCUGCUUUUGUGGGGUGCUCGAGUGGCGAACGGGUGAGUAACACGUGAGUAACCUGCCCUUGACUUUGGGAUAACUUCAGGAAACUGGGGCUAAUACCGGAUAGGAGCUCCUGCUGCAUGGUGGGGGUUGGAAAGUUUCGGCGGUUGGGGAUGGACUCGCGGCUUAUCAGCUUGUUGGUGGGGUAGUGGCUUACCAAGGCUUUGACGGGUAGCCGGCCUGAGAGGGUGACCGGCCACAUUGGGACUGGGAUACGGCCCAGACUCCUACGGGAGGCAGCAGUGGGGAAUAUUGCAUAAUGGGCGGAAGCCUGAUGCAGCAACGCCGCGUGCGGGAUGACGGCCUUCGGGUUGUAAACCGCUUUCGCCUGUGACGAAGCGUGAGUGACGGUAAUGGGUAAAGAAGCACCGGCUAACUACGUG